AGCAGCCGCGGUAAUUCCAGCUCCAAUAGCGUAUAUUAAAGUUGUUGCAGUUAAAAAGCUCGUAGUUGAAUUUCGGGGUUAAUAAGUUGGUCGUGCCAAUGGUAUGUACUGGCUUUAUUGAUUCCUACUUCCUGAAGAACUGUGAUGCCAUUAAUUUGGUGUUGCAGGGAAUCAGGACUGUUACCUUGAAAAAAUUAGAGUGUUUAAAGCAGGCUUACGCUUGAAUACAUUAGCAUGGAAUAAUGAAAUAGGACGUUUGAACCUAUCUUGUUGGUUUCUAGGAUCGACGUAAUGAUUAAUAGGGAUAGUUGGGGGCAUUAGUAUUCAAUUGUCAGAGGUGAAAUUCUUGGAUUUAUUGAAGACUAACUACUGCGAAAGCAUUUGCCAAGGAUGUUUUCAUUAAUCAAGAACGAAAGUUAGGGGAUCGAAGACGAUCAGAUACCGUCGUAGUCUUAACCAUAAACUAUGCCGACUAGGGAUCGGAUGAUGUUAAUUUUUAAUGACUCAUUCGGCGCCUUAA
RNAcentral lists this ribosomal RNA (520 nucleotides) under uncultured Glomus. RNAcentral's name for it is "SSU rRNA". It matches the Rfam family "Eukaryotic small subunit ribosomal RNA", at positions 569 to 1091 of the family's 1831-position model. Lineage: Eukaryota; Fungi; Glomeromycota; Glomeromycetes; Glomerales; Glomeraceae. The record is from RNAcentral.